RNAcentral lists this unclassified non-coding RNA (334 nucleotides) under soil metagenome. RNAcentral's name for it is "partial contains 5.8S ribosomal RNA, internal transcribed spacer 2, and large subunit ribosomal RNA". The stretch from base 1 to 120 matches the Rfam family "5.8S ribosomal RNA", at positions 35 to 154 of the family's 154-position model. The record is from RNAcentral.
GAUGAAGAACUCAGCGAAAUGCGAUAAGUAAUGUGAAUUGCAGAAUUCAGUGAAUCAUCGAAUCUUUGAACGCACAUUGCGCCCGCCAGUAUUCUGGCGGGCAUGCCUGUUCGAGCGUCAUUUCAACCAUCAAGCCCCCGGCUUGUGUUGGGGACCUGCGGCUGCCGCAGGCCCUGAAAACCAGUGGCGGGCUCGCUAGUCACUCCGAGCGUAGUAAUACAUCUCGCUCAGGGCGUGCUGCGGGUUCCGGCCGUUAAAAGCCUUAUUUACCCAAGGUUGACCUCGGAUCAGGUAGGAAGACCCGCUGAACUUAAGCAUAUCAAUAAGCGGAGGA